CCGGGUUGCGGACAGUGUCUGGUGGGUAGUUUGACUGGGGCGGUCUCCUCCUAAAGAGUAACGGAGGAGCACGAAGGUUGGCUAAUCCUGGUCGGACAUCAGGAGGUUAGUGCAAUGGCAUAAGCCAGCUUGACUGCGAGCGUGACGGCGCGAGCAGGUGCGAAAGCAGGUCAUAGUGAUCCGGUGGUUCUGAAUGGAAGGGCCAUCGCUCAACGGAUAAAAGGUACUCCGGGGAUAACAGGCUGAUACCGCCCAAGAGUUCAUAUCGACGGCGGUGUUUGGCACCUCGAUGUCGGCUCAUCACAUCCUGGGGCUGAAGUAGGUCCCAAGGGUAUGGCUGUUCGCCAUUUAAAGUGGUACGCGAGCUGGGUUUAGAACGUCGUGAGACAGUUCGGUCCCUAUCUGCCGUGGGCGCUGGAGAACUGAGGGGGGCUGCUCCUAGUACGAGAGGACCGGAGUGGACGCAUCACUGGUGUUCGGGUUGUCAUGCCAAUGGCACUGCCCGGUAGCUAAAUGCGGAAGAGAUAAGUGCUGAAAGCAUCUAAGCACGAAACUUGCCCCGAG
This 564-nucleotide ribosomal RNA is filed under the name Salmonella enterica subsp. enterica serovar Infantis. Its description in RNAcentral is "partial 23S ribosomal RNA". It matches the Rfam family "Bacterial large subunit ribosomal RNA", at positions 2240 to 2803 of the family's 2925-position model. Lineage: Bacteria; Pseudomonadati; Pseudomonadota; Gammaproteobacteria; Enterobacterales; Enterobacteriaceae. RNAcentral also lists the same sequence under 2 other names. The record is from RNAcentral.